Leopardus geoffroyi (Geoffroy's cat) is the source of this 1974-nucleotide long non-coding RNA. RefSeq lists it as uncharacterized. Lineage: Eukaryota; Metazoa; Chordata; Mammalia; Carnivora; Felidae. The transcript is spliced from 4 exons. The record is from RefSeq and is a predicted model, not a curated record.
GAGGAGCUGAACAUAACAGUAUCUUGGUGGGGGAUGGGGGCGGGGAGGUGGUUACUUGUGCCAGUGCCAAAGUCCAGAAAAAAAGGGGGGGGGGUGGGAGAACGGCAAAUCGAUGCACUCGGCACAAAGUUCAAACUGGAUUUCUGCCUGGGACCAGAGGUCAGGGGUUCCAACUCCGCGGUGUCAAGCCCCUGCCAGGGAUGCUCCCACCCCUCCCCCACCCUUGCCAACGCCAGCUUGGCAGUGGCAGGAAGUGGGAGCCUGGCGGCCUUGGUAUUCCCAGCACCCAGCUCUGGCUGGACGGGGCUCCUGGUGACCUCACUUCCACGAAGCCAGCUGGUCCUCUCCGGCUCCACCUUCUACCUUAAGGCUGAACAGUGCCCUUUCUCUGUCCAGGGAAGCUUCUGCUGGCACCAUGGAUACUCCUGCCACAGGCUGCCACCAGGUGGAGAGCUGGUGCAAGCCAAAUGGGCCCUGAGAGGCCUAGCUCCCCACAAUCUGCACCCCAAGGCGUCCCCCUUCACUCCCUGGGGACAGGAGGCUCUCAUCACCACUCCUGUUUUGCUACUGACCCUGCUGCAGCUGGUCCACACUGGGAUCGUUUGGGGAAACACCAAACUUGGGCAAAAAGUAACCAGCUUGCUUCGUGUCCCAGGACUGGAGUGAGACAAGAGGAUGACAGGGCAAGACCACCUGCCCCUGGAAGAGGAGCGGACACGCAGGGAGAAGCCGGCCAUGUGAACACAGACGCAGAGAUCCGAGUGGUGUAUUUACAAGCCAACAAAUGGCGAGCAUCACCAGGAGCCACCAGAAGCUGGAGGAGGCAAAGAAGGAGACCCCCGCCUCCCGCCCCCCAGAGCCUUCAGAGGGCUUCUAACUUCCAGCUGUGGUUUGUGUUGUUGGCUCAACCAAGAUCCUCCUUUGUCCUGUGCUGCCAGGAUUUUCCUGAAGUUUCUCCAGGUUGGCCCCAAAUCUCACUGCUUGGAGAAGCUGAAUGUCAACUUUGGAUCCAGAAUUUCCAUUGCACCUUCCCUCCUCUGAAGCAUUUGUGAAAAUGUUAAUUAAUCGUGGUUCAAACAGAGACCCCUGUGCCAACUCUGCCACCAUUCAGACAAGUGUUUCCGUUCUGUCUUUAGUCAGUUGGUUUCUGUUUGUAUUUGGCUCCAUGCAUUCCAAAAGGAAUUUGAGGAAUUCAAAACCCGCCUACACCAGAGGCCAGGUAAUGAUACCGCCUGAAGCAAUCUUUCGCCCCGGAGUGACCUGGCUUGUUCCUAUAUCUGAGCGUUACAUUUGCUUUUAGAUUUCCUGGCAUCCAGGAUAAAUGGGAAGCCAGAUGGGAUAUACAAUCGGUUGACUUGUAAAUCUUCAAUAAUCUGGAUGGGCCUCAUCCAAUUAAUUGAAAGAACUUAGAGCAAAACUGAGGUUUCCCCGAGGAAGAAGAAAUUCUGUUCAAAAUUGUAGCAUCAGCUUCUCCCUGAGAAUUUUCAGCCUGCCAGUCUACCCUACAGAUUUUGGACAGGCCAGCCCCCCCAGAGUCACGAAAGCCAAUUCCUUGAACUAAACAUCUCUCAGUAUAUUUCAUCCUGGUAUGUUUCUCUGAAUCAAUAUAACAUAUAAUGCUUUGGUAAAAGUAUGAUAAGGGUCAACAUUGGCUGAGAGUUGGGGAAACAAACACUCGUACUUACACCAUUGGUGGGAACAUACGUUGGGGCAUUUGGAAGAGCAACUGACAAUAUCUACUGAAGUUACAAAUGCAAAUUCCUUUGUCUCAACAGUUCUAUGGCUUUAGUGCACAAGUUCACCAAGAUAUGUGUACAAGGAUGUUCAUCGCAGCAUUUGUAAGCGCAAAUAAUGCAGCAAUUGGGACUGCUUAAAUAAACUGUAGGGGCGCCUGGGGGGCUCAGUUGAGCGUCCGACUUCGGCUCAGGUCAUGAUCUCGAGGUCCGUGAGUUCGAGCCCCGCGUUGGGCUCUGU